CAGCAGCAGCCGCGGUAAUACAGAGGGUGCAAGCGUUAAUCGGAAUUACUGGGCGUAAAGCGCGCGUAGGUGGUUUGUUAAGUUGGAUGUGAAAUCCCCGGGCUCAACCUGGGAACUGCAUCCAAAACUGGCAAGCUAGAGUAUGGUAGAGGGUUGUGGAAUUUCCUGUGUAGCGGUGAAAUGCGUAGAUAUAGGAAGGAACACCAGUGGCGAAGGCGACCACCUGGACUGAUACUGACACUGAGGUGCGAAAGCGUGGGGAGCAAACAGGAUUAGAUACCCCUGUAGUCCCUGUCUCUUAUAC
This 304-nucleotide ribosomal RNA is filed under the name uncultured bacterium. Its description in RNAcentral is "partial 16S ribosomal RNA". It matches the Rfam family "Bacterial small subunit ribosomal RNA", at positions 506 to 807 of the family's 1533-position model. The record is from RNAcentral.